CUAUUAUGAUGCUAUCUUAGGACACCUCUGAUUCAUAUGAAGAUAUAUUGCUUCUGAAUAGC
Molecule: non-coding RNA, 62 nt
Organism: Stegodyphus mimosarum
Lineage: Eukaryota; Metazoa; Arthropoda; Arachnida; Araneae; Eresidae
Source: Rfam